GACGAACGCUGGCGGCGCGCCUAAUACAUGCAAGUCGAGGGAGAACCGAGCCUUCGGGCCCGGGGAGACCGGCGAACGGGUGAGUAACACGUGAGGAACCUGCCCUGUAGACCGGAAUAACCACGGGAAACUGUGGCUAAUGCCGGAUAUUCUCAGGCCUUCGCAUGAGGGCGUCGAGGAAAUGGUCCGCCGCUACAGGAUGGCCUCGCGGCCUAUCAGCUUGUUGGUGAGGUAACGGCUCACCAAGGCGACGACGGGUAGCUGGCGUGAGAGCGCGACAGCCACACUGGGACUGAGACACGGCCAGACUCUACGGGAGGCAGCAGUAGGGAAUCUUGCGCAAUGGGCGAAAGCCUGACGCAGCGA
This 366-nucleotide ribosomal RNA is filed under the name uncultured bacterium. RNAcentral's name for it is "bacterial SSU rRNA". It matches the Rfam family "Bacterial small subunit ribosomal RNA", at positions 28 to 394 of the family's 1533-position model. The record is from RNAcentral.